This 253-nucleotide ribosomal RNA is filed under the name uncultured bacterium. Its description in RNAcentral is "partial 16S ribosomal RNA". It matches the Rfam family "Bacterial small subunit ribosomal RNA", at positions 524 to 776 of the family's 1533-position model. The record is from RNAcentral.
UGCGGAGGGUGCAAACGUUGCUCGGAAUCAUUGGGCGUAAAGCGCACGUAGGCGGCUAUGUAAGUCGGGUGUGAAAGCCCUCGGCUCAACCGAGGAAGUGCAUUCGAAACUGCAUGGCUUGAGUAUCGGAGAGGAUAGCGGAAUUCCCGGUGUAGAGGUGAAAUUCGUAGAUAUCGGGAGGAACACCAGUGGCGAAGGCGGCUAUCUGGACGAAUACUGACGCUGAAGUUCGAAAGCGUGGGGAGCAAACAGG